RNAcentral lists this transfer RNA (76 nucleotides) under Pseudomonas aeruginosa. Its description in RNAcentral is "tRNA-Val". It matches the Rfam family "tRNA". Rfam says of the family: Transfer RNA (tRNA) molecules are approximately 80 nucleotides in length. Their secondary structure includes four short double-helical elements and three loops (D, anti-codon, and T loops). Further hydrogen bonds mediate the characteristic L-shaped molecular structure. tRNAs have two regions of fundamental functional importance: the anti-codon, which is responsible for specific mRNA codon recognition, and the 3' end, to which the tRNAs corresponding amino acid is attached (by aminoacyl-tRNA synthetases). tRNAs cope with the degeneracy of the genetic code in two manners: having more than one tRNA (with a specific anti-codon) for a particular amino acid; and 'wobble' base-pairing, i.e. permitting non-standard base-pairing at the 3rd anti-codon position. The record is from RNAcentral. Lineage: Bacteria; Pseudomonadati; Pseudomonadota; Gammaproteobacteria; Pseudomonadales; Pseudomonadaceae.
GGGUGAUUAGCUCAGCUGGGAGAGCAUCUGCCUUACAAGCAGAGGGUCGGCGGUUCGAUCCCGUCCUCAACCACCA